RNAcentral lists this long non-coding RNA (1146 nucleotides) under Oncorhynchus kisutch (coho salmon). RNAcentral describes it as "lncRNA (ENSOKIG00005034617.1)". Lineage: Eukaryota; Metazoa; Chordata; Actinopteri; Salmoniformes; Salmonidae. The record is from RNAcentral.
AUGUAUUGUUGUCUCUACCUUCUUGCCCUUUGUGCUGUUGUCUCUACCUUCUUGCCCUUUGUGCUGUUGUCUCUACCUUCUUGCCCUUUGUGCUGUUGUCUCUACCUUCUUGCCCUUUGUGCUGUUGUCUCUACCUUCUUGCCCUUUGUGCUGUUGUCUCUACUUUCUUGCCCUUUGUGCUGUUGUCUCUACCUUCUUGCCCUUUGUGCUGUUGUCUCUACCUUCUUGCCCUUUGUGCUGUUGUCUCUACCUUCUUGCCCUUUGUGCUGUUGUCUCUACCUUCUUGCCCUUUGUGCAGUUGUCUCUACCUUCUUGCCCUUUGUGCAGUUGUCUCUACCUUCUUGCCCUUUGUGCUGUUGUCUCUACCUUCUUGCCCUUUGUGCAGUUGUCUCUACCUUCUUGCCCUUUGUGCUGUUGUCUCUACCUUCUUGCCCUUUGUGCAGUUGUCUCUACCUUCUUGCCCUUUGUGCUGUUGUCUCUACCUUCUGGCCCUUUGUGCUGUUGUCUCUACCUUCUUGCCCUUUGUGCUGUUGUCUCUACCUUCUUGCCCUUUGUGCUGUUGUCUCUACCUUCUUGCCCUUUGUGCAGUUGUCUCUACCUUCUUGCCCUUUGUGCUGUUGUCUCUACCUUCUUGCCCUUUGUGCUGUUGUCUCUACCUUCUUGCCCUUUGUGCUGUUGUCUCUACCUUCUUGCCCUUUGUGCUGUUGUCUCUACCUUCUUGCCCUUUGUGCUGUUGUCUCUACCUUCUUGCCCUUUGUGCUGUUGUCUCUACCUUCUUGCCCUUUGUGCUGUUGUCUCUACCUUCUUGCCCUUUGUGCUGUUGUCUCUACCUUCUUGCCCUUUGUGCUGUUGUCUCUACCUUCUUGCCCUUUGUGCUGUUGUCUCUACCUUCUUGCCCUUUGUGCUGUUGUCUCUACCUUCUUGCCCUUUGUGCAGUUGUCUCUACCUUCUUGCCCUUUGUGCUGUUGUCUCUACCUUCUUGCCCUUUGUGCAGUUGUCUCUACCUUCUUGCCCUUUGUGCUGUUGUCUGUGCCCAAUGUUUGUAUCAUGUUUAAUCCUGCUACCAUGCCGUGUUGUCAUGUUGUGUUGCUACCAUGCCGUGUUGUCAUGUUUAGUCCUGCUACCAUGCCGUGUUGUCAUGUUUAG